GGUCUCGUAGCUCAGCUGGUAGAGCAUGCGCGUACAAAGCGUAGGCGGCGUCCAUGCGUGGGUUCGAAUCCCACUGAGGCUN
Molecule: transfer RNA, 82 nt
Filed under: Echinostoma caproni
Lineage: Eukaryota; Metazoa; Platyhelminthes; Trematoda; Plagiorchiida; Echinostomatidae
Rfam family: tRNA
About the family: Transfer RNA (tRNA) molecules are approximately 80 nucleotides in length.
Source: Rfam by way of RNAcentral